Molecule: ribosomal RNA, 253 nt
Filed under: Oscillibacter ruminantium GH1
Lineage: Bacteria; Bacillati; Bacillota; Clostridia; Eubacteriales; Oscillospiraceae
Description: partial 16S ribosomal RNA
Rfam family: Bacterial small subunit ribosomal RNA
Source: RNAcentral
UACGUAGGUGGCAAGCGUUGUCCGGAUUUACUGGGUGUAAAGGGCGUGCAGCCGGGCCGGCAAGUCAGAUGUGAAAUCCACGAGCUUAACUCGUGAACUGCAUUUGAAACUGUUGGUCUUGAGUAUCGGAGAGGUAAUCGGAAUUCCUUGUGUAGCGGUGAAAUGCGUAGAUAUAAGGAAGAACACCAGUGGCGAAGGCGAAUUACUGGACGACAACUGACGGUGAGGCGCGAAAGCGUGGGGAGCAAACAGG